UGGGUCAGUGAUGAGACUGUGUCAUGAACCAAGUAUUGUGAUUGCCCCCGUUCUCUAUAAAAUAAAGUCAGUUCUUUG
Molecule: small nucleolar RNA, 78 nt
Organism: Myotis lucifugus (little brown bat)
Lineage: Eukaryota; Metazoa; Chordata; Mammalia; Chiroptera; Vespertilionidae
Source: Ensembl